RNAcentral lists this unclassified non-coding RNA (403 nucleotides) under soil metagenome. RNAcentral's name for it is "partial contains 5.8S ribosomal RNA, internal transcribed spacer 2, and large subunit ribosomal RNA". The stretch from base 1 to 121 matches the Rfam family "5.8S ribosomal RNA", at positions 35 to 154 of the family's 154-position model. The record is from RNAcentral.
GAUGAAGAACGCAGCGAAAUGCGAUAAGUAAUGUGAAUUGCAGAAUUCAGUGAAUCAUCGAAUCUUUGAACGCACCUUGCGCCCUUUGGCUAUUCCGAAGGGCAUGCCUGUUUGAGUAUCAUGAACACCUCAACUCUCAUGGUUUGCCAUGAUGAGCUUGGACUUUGGGGGUCUUGCCGGCCUAUGGGUCGGCUCCUCUCAAAUUAAUCAGCUUGCCAGUGUUUGGUGGCAUCACAGGUGUGAUAACUAUCUACGCUUGUGGUUUUCCAUCAGGUAACCUUCAGUGAUGGAGGUUCGCUGGGGCUCAUAAAUGUCUCUCCUCAGUGAGGACAGCUUUUUGAACGUUUGAUCUCAAAUCAGGUAGGACUACCCGCUGAACUUAAGCAUAUCAAUAAGCGGAGGA